GAUUCCAGCGAGAAGGAUUCUGGGAGGUCUUAGUCAUCUCCCGGGUUCAGCCGUGGCCUCUGAGCUUCCCCACAAAGCCACGUUGCCAUCGGGAGGCAAGUCCCAAAUGCUGCUGACAGGCGGUUUAGAACUAGAGCUGGCGCUCAGCCAUGAUCUCACGCCCUGCACAACCACACGUGAUCUCAGCUCCAGUUUCCUGAUCUCUGUGGAUGCUCCUGGAUUCUCAGACACUCAACCAUUUGGGGACCAGGGGAGGAAGCAGAGCUGGGAGCUUCCAGGCCCUCAGGCAAUGUUUAAAGAGAGCACCCCACAGUGCCCUGGACAAGUAGCUGAAAAGUUAUUUGCAAGGCUGAAUUAAACCCAGUGCAGCCAUUCUUCAGGGGAGCCAUCCAGCUACAUUCUCAGACUCAAGGCAGAUUGAGUCACUUUCCUCCGCUGUGUUAAUCUGUACUGUGAUUUUAAAAGAGACUCUCCUCUUCAGUCGGUGGAUGGACUUCUCCUGCUUUGCAGGAAGACA
Kogia breviceps (pygmy sperm whale) is the source of this 517-nucleotide non-coding RNA. The record is from RefSeq and is a predicted model, not a curated record. NCBI's taxonomy places the organism in Eukaryota, Metazoa, Chordata, Mammalia, Artiodactyla, Physeteridae.